Molecule: ribosomal RNA, 515 nt
Filed under: uncultured bacterium
Lineage: Bacteria
Description: partial 16S ribosomal RNA
Rfam family: Bacterial small subunit ribosomal RNA
Source: RNAcentral
GACGAACGCUGGCGGCGUGCCUAAUACAUGCAAGUCGAGCGAUGAUUAAAGAUAGCUUGCUAUUUUUAUGAAGAGCGGCGAACGGGUGAGUAACGCGUGGGAAAUCUGCCGAGUAGCGGGGGACAACGUUUGGAAACGAACGCUAAUACCGCAUAACAAUGAGAAUCGCAUGAUUCUUAUUUAAAAGAAGCAAUUGCUUCACUACUUGAUGAUCCCGCGUUGUAUUAGCUAGUUGGUAGUGUAAAGGACUACCAAGGCGAUGAUACAUAGCCGACCUGAGAGGGUGAUCGGCCACACUGGGACUGGGACACGGCCCAGACUCCUACGGGAGGCAGCAGUAGGGAAUCUUCGGCAAUGGGGGCAACCCUGACCGAGCAACGCCGCGUGAGUGAAGAAGGUUUUUGGAUCGUAAAACUCUGCUGUUAGAGAAGAACGUUAAGUAGAGUGGAAAAUUACUUAAGUGACGGUAUCUAACCAGAAAGGGACGGCUAACUACGUGCCAGCAGCCGCCGCGG